GUCUGGUUUCAGGGUUGUUAACGAUAUACUACAGUGUGGCUAACGUUUUAACACUGUUUGUCUAAUGGCAUUUGUCUAUAUUGACAAAUCCCGUUACAGUUCAAGAAUAACGUGCAACAUAAUGUUCGUAUAGUAAUAUGAACAUUACUGAAUGAUAUGAAUCUAUUAUCACUGUUUGAAUGUACUCAAUGAAUAUGAGAUUGAUUUAAACAGGGACAUGUUGGAGAUAGUAGUAUUCAAUAUCAUUUGUAUUGCAACCUGAGCUCAGGCGUGAUUACCCGCUGAACUUAAGCAUAUCAUUUAGCGGA
This 308-nucleotide ribosomal RNA is filed under the name Cooperia oncophora. Its description in RNAcentral is "eukaryotic LSU rRNA". Lineage: Eukaryota; Metazoa; Nematoda; Chromadorea; Rhabditida; Trichostrongylidae. The record is from RNAcentral.